RNAcentral lists this ribosomal RNA (460 nucleotides) under uncultured bacterium. RNAcentral's name for it is "partial 16S ribosomal RNA". It matches the Rfam family "Bacterial small subunit ribosomal RNA", at positions 338 to 795 of the family's 1533-position model. The record is from RNAcentral.
CCUACGGGAGGCAGCAGUGAGGAAUAUUGGUCAAUGGGCGCGAGCCUGAACCAGCCAAGCAGCGUGAAGGAUGACUGCCCUACGGGUUGUAAACUUCUUUUAUAAAGGAAUAAAGUGAGGCACGUGUGCCUUUCUGUAUGUACUUUAUGAAUAAGGAUCGGCUAACUCCGUGCCAGCAGCCGCGGUAAUACGGAGGAUCCAAGCGUUAUCCGGAUUUAUUGGGUUUAAAGGGAGCGUAGAUGGGUUGUUAAGUCAGUUGUGAAAGUUUGCGGCUCAACCGUAAAAUUGCAUUUGAUACUGGCAGUCUUGAGUACAGUUGAGGUAGGCGGAAUUCGUGGUGUAGCGGUGAAAUGCUUAGAUAUCACGAAGAACUCCGAUUGCGAAGGCAGCUUACUAAGCUGCAACUGACAUUGAUGCUCGAAAGUGUGGGUAUCAAACAGGAUUAGAUACCCUAGUAGUC